Long non-coding RNA from Diachasmimorpha longicaudata, 855 nucleotides. RefSeq lists it as uncharacterized. NCBI's taxonomy places the organism in Eukaryota, Metazoa, Arthropoda, Insecta, Hymenoptera, Braconidae. The transcript is spliced from 3 exons. The record is from RefSeq and is a predicted model, not a curated record.
UUUUAAUGUUGAGACAAAACCUACGUAGCACACGCAAACGCCCCAGUUGAGUACUUCAAUCCAUACAGUUUAUUCCGUACGGUUUUAUGCCGGUCACUAUUUUUAGAGCAUCGUGUGCAUGCAGGUCUACCCUCGAGCUUUGUCCUUGAAGACGUCUAUUUCUUGCUCUUGGGGCCUUUGAGAUGAUCUCGAGGUUGGGACAAAGGAACGAGGUGAACAUGGCGACCAGUGAAUGAGCAGGAAAAUUUUCAAUGAAAUUUUGGACAGUCCAUUUCGACCUAUUCUUCAUCCCUGAAUGUUCAUUUCUUUGAGGGUGAGGUUUUUCAGUGGCAUAAAUCGUCAGAAUCCCGAAAUUACUGAAGAAGAAUGUAAUUCGACGGCAUCGUUGAAUUGCUGAUCGCAAUAAAAAGAAACUGUGACCUAAUAAUAUUCCAACUGAAUAUUUCAAUGUUGAUUUCAUGUGGAAAACACCAGCUGACACGAUUCUAGGUGUGAAAUUACACUAAUGAGACGAACAACAGAUUAAUUGAAUUACCGUGUGAACUAACUGAGCUCGUACAGCAUUAACAAACAUUGAAAUCCAAAAAUUCCAACUUUGAAGUGUGUUCUCGAAAAAACUGAAUUGGAAAUAUGAUUAAAUGCUUUCUAUUAACCGUCAGCAUUAGGAAAUCAGCAAGUUAUUUACGAUAUCCUUGAAAUUUGGCUAACAGUUGAAAAAAAACUGUCCAUAAAUUUUUAAUGUGAUGGAUACCAGUGAGACGCUUUCACCACAAUAUUUUCCCCCAGAGUGAAAGACGUUGAAUUGUUUGCCAAGUCAAAAAAUAGUUCACAGGUUAAUCACAACUCUUGCGACAA